Molecule: small nuclear RNA, 107 nt
Filed under: Piliocolobus tephrosceles (Ugandan red Colobus)
Lineage: Eukaryota; Metazoa; Chordata; Mammalia; Primates; Cercopithecidae
Source: RNAcentral
GUGCUUGCUUUGGCAGCACAUAUACUAAAAUUCAAAUGAUAUAGAAAAGAUUAGUGUGGCCCCUGUGCAAGGAUGACAUACAAAUUCAUGAAGGGCUCCAGUUAUAA